GCUAGCUUAUAUUUUACUUAUCCUUAAAACCCAGCUUACAGUGGCAGGCACCUGUAGUCCCAGCGACUCGGGAGGCUGAGGCAGGAGAAUGGCGUGAACCCGGAAGGCAGUGCUUGCAGUGAGCUGAGAUCGCGCCACAGCACUCCAGCCUGGGCGACAGAGCGAGGCUCUGUCUCAAAAAAAAAAGAGGAAAAAAGAAAAAGGAAAAAAACCAGCUUAAAUUCUUGUAGGAAUAAGGUGCAUAUUAGAGAAACAACUCAACUGCCUUCAGCAAAGUACGGAAUUUGGUGACUCAUCCCUGGGAAGUCCAGAGGUGGAGCUGGCCUCAAACAGAUUCAUCAGUCUUUCUUCACUGAAAACCAGAGGAGGCACCUGCCACCCACCUGACUCCAGGAGCCUGAGUCAAAGUUCAGUCUGCACAGCUCAGGCAGGACUUGAACCCAGAACCACAGAGUGAGCCCUUGUCAGCUGUGCUGAGUAAGAAAUGAGAAAUGUUGCAGGUCCUGAGGUAGGGUAGGUGGACAGUGGGAUUCCUGAAGCAUUCCACACCACCUGGCAGGAAGA
This 564-nucleotide long non-coding RNA is filed under the name Rhinopithecus bieti (black snub-nosed monkey). Its description in RNAcentral is "lncRNA (ENSRBIG00000045467.1)". The record is from RNAcentral. Lineage: Eukaryota; Metazoa; Chordata; Mammalia; Primates; Cercopithecidae.